CAUGCUAGAGCACUUUUUCAAUGUGCUCCCCAACGAGAAGGCGACGACGCAUUCCUAUGUCAAUCCAUAUCAACUUUCGAUGCCAUUGACUGCGCCUACCAUGGUGACCACGGGUAACAGGGAAUCAGGGUUCGAUUCCGUACAGGUACCCUGACAAACGGCUACCACAUGCAAGGAAGGCAG
This 183-nucleotide ribosomal RNA is filed under the name Pelobates cultripes (western spadefoot toad). Its description in RNAcentral is "SSU_rRNA_eukarya". It matches the Rfam family "Eukaryotic small subunit ribosomal RNA", at positions 248 to 428 of the family's 1831-position model. The record is from RNAcentral. Lineage: Eukaryota; Metazoa; Chordata; Amphibia; Anura; Pelobatidae.